This 252-nucleotide ribosomal RNA is filed under the name uncultured Bacteroidales bacterium. RNAcentral's name for it is "partial 16S ribosomal RNA". It matches the Rfam family "Bacterial small subunit ribosomal RNA", at positions 524 to 776 of the family's 1533-position model. The record is from RNAcentral. Lineage: Bacteria; Pseudomonadati; Bacteroidota; Bacteroidia; Bacteroidales.
UACAUAGGAUGCAAGCGUUAUCCGGAUUUAUUGGGUUUAAAGGGUGCGUAAGCGGAACAUUAAGUCAGCGGUAAAAUCGAGGGGCUCAACCCCUUUAAGCCGUUGAAACUGCAUCCCUUGAGUGCGCGAGAAGUAUGCGGAAUGCGUGGUGUAGCGGUGAAAUGCAUAGAUAUCACGCAGAACUCCGAUUGCGAAGGCAGCAUACCGGCGCGCAACUGACGCUCAUGCACGAAAGCGUGGGUAUCGAACAGG